This 497-nucleotide ribosomal RNA is filed under the name uncultured bacterium. Its description in RNAcentral is "partial 16S ribosomal RNA". It matches the Rfam family "Bacterial small subunit ribosomal RNA", at positions 28 to 507 of the family's 1533-position model. The record is from RNAcentral.
GAUGAACGCUGGCGGCGUGCCUAAUACAUGCAAGUCGAGCGAACGGACGAGAAGCUUGCUUCUCUGAUGUUAGCGGCGGACGGGUGAGUAACACGUGGAUAACCUACCUAUAAGACUGGGAUAACUUCGGGAAACCGGAGCUAAUACCGGAUAAUAUUUUGAACCGCAUGAUUCAAAAGUGAAAGACGGUCUUGCUGUCACUUAUAGAUGGAUCCGCGCUGCAUUAGCUAGUUGGUAAGGUAACGGCUUACCAAGGCAACGAUGCAUAGCCGACCUGAGAGGGUGAUCGGCCACACUGGAACUGAGACACGGUCCAGACUCCUACGGGAGGCAGCAGUAGGGAAUCUUCCGCAAUGGGCGAAAGCCUGACGGAGCAACGCCGCGUGAGUGAUGAAGGUCUUCGGAUCGUAAAACUCUGUUAUUAGGGAAGAACAUACGUGUAAGUAACUGUGCACAUCUUGACGGUACCUAAUCAGAAAGCCACGGCUAACUACGUG